Acanthosepion pharaonis is the source of this 112-nucleotide non-coding RNA. Lineage: Eukaryota; Metazoa; Mollusca; Cephalopoda; Sepiida; Sepiidae. The record is from the annotation of a GenBank genome assembly.
UAUGGUCACAUCACACUGAAAUACCAGUUCCUGUAUGAUCGCCAAAGUUAAGCAACAUUGAGCCUGGUCAGUACCUAGAUGGGUGACUGCUUGGGAAUAACAGAUGCUACAA